This is a long non-coding RNA of Helicoverpa armigera (cotton bollworm), 764 nucleotides long. RefSeq lists it as uncharacterized. Lineage: Eukaryota; Metazoa; Arthropoda; Insecta; Lepidoptera; Noctuidae. The transcript is spliced from 3 exons. The record is from RefSeq and is a predicted model, not a curated record.
GACGAUUUUAUUUCACACAGAUGAAAUGUUACAGUGUGCACGCAUUCAAAGAGCCGUAACUGGUUGCAACAUCUGUUAUCAUUGCUCAGCGUGCCACCGUUCAUUGCCGACAUAUAGUAAUGAAGAACACAAACAAGCAAUUAUAAAUUGUGAAAUUGUGCAAAAUCAUAAAACAGUUUUUUUUGUUCGUUGCCAGCAGUCCACAUUGGGUACCUACCCUACGUUCUUGAGAGAAAAAAAACGUGUAUUUGGUAAUAAAAGCAUUCAGGCGAAGGUACAUAAGAUGUUUGCAAGUGCAAAAGUCUACUUCCCUGUACAGAAAUGAUCACCGUGCACCACGUACACGCCGUAGGGUGCACCUAUUGCCAGAAGGCCAUACCCACAAGGCCUCCAGACAUGGCGCACCCAUAACGCAUCAUGGCCGGUGACCCAAGAGAGACCAGGAAUACUCAAUUUAAGCUGUGAGAAUACACUACACACAUUACAUACACAUUAGCCUCACGCAUUGUCAUAAAACUACAAUAGUAUGCUAAGUGAGUGGGCGAUAUAAAUAAGAUUUAUAUCCAUUUCUUAUUGAUAUAAUUUAAAAUUUAGAUAAUAGAAAUAUUUGCCUUCGUCAUAUCGAGCUUCCGCUGCGCAUCUACCAUGUACUGCCGUAAACGUCUCUUAAAACUAUCGACUGUGUUCAUAACUCUAAUAGGUGGUGGAAUAUUGUUCCACACUUUCGCUGCUGCAUAUCGGAAACUCCCUCUAAACGCCGUGGU